GCUUGUCUCAAAGAUUAAGCCAUGCAUGUCUAAGUAUAAGCAUUAUACAGUGAAACUGCGAAUGGCUCAUUAUAUCAGUUAUAGUUUAUUUGAUAGUCAACUCUACUUGGAUAACCGUAGUAAUUCUAGAGCUAAUACAUGCGUCAAAGGGGCUUUACGGCUUCUGUAUUUAUUAGAUGGAAACCAAUGCGGGGCAACCCGGUAUAUGGUGAUUCAUAAUAACUUUCGGAUCGAUCUUCGGAUCGAUGCAUCAUUCAAGUUUCUGCCCUAUCAGCUUUGGAUGGUAGGGUAUUGGCCUACCAUGGCUUUAACGGGUAACGGAGAAUUAGGGUUCGAUUCCGGAGAGGGAGCCUGAGAAAUGGCUACCACAUCCAAGGAAGGCAGCAGG
This 388-nucleotide ribosomal RNA is filed under the name uncultured Chrysophyceae. RNAcentral's name for it is "partial small subunit ribosomal RNA". It matches the Rfam family "Eukaryotic small subunit ribosomal RNA", at positions 30 to 432 of the family's 1831-position model. Lineage: Eukaryota; Chrysophyceae. The record is from RNAcentral.